Molecule: transfer RNA, 68 nt
Filed under: Coleoptera sp. 1 AH-2016
Lineage: Eukaryota; Metazoa; Arthropoda; Insecta; Coleoptera
Description: tRNA-Tyr
Rfam family: tRNA
About the family: Transfer RNA (tRNA) molecules are approximately 80 nucleotides in length. Their secondary structure includes four short double-helical elements and three loops (D, anti-codon, and T loops). Further hydrogen bonds mediate the characteristic L-shaped molecular structure. tRNAs have two regions of fundamental functional importance: the anti-codon, which is responsible for specific mRNA codon recognition, and the 3' end, to which the tRNAs corresponding amino acid is attached (by aminoacyl-tRNA synthetases). tRNAs cope with the degeneracy of the genetic code in two manners: having more than one tRNA (with a specific anti-codon) for a particular amino acid; and 'wobble' base-pairing, i.e. permitting non-standard base-pairing at the 3rd anti-codon position.
Source: RNAcentral
GGUAAAAUGGCUGAAUUUAUAGGCGAUAAAUUGUAAAUUUAUAAAUGGGUUGAUAAUUCCUUUUACCA